Molecule: unclassified non-coding RNA, 309 nt
Filed under: Hevea brasiliensis (rubber tree)
Lineage: Eukaryota; Viridiplantae; Streptophyta; Magnoliopsida; Malpighiales; Euphorbiaceae
Source: RNAcentral
GGAAAAUAGACCUUCAUCUUCAUGUGUAUCAGGACAUUGAGCAGCAAGCACCACAAGAUGGCCCAGUGGAAAUCAAAAACCAUGAGGACUCAAGGAAACACACUUUCCAGAUGUCCAGAUAUUUUAGCCUUGCAGUCUGGACACAUAAAUCCAAUUGAAUCUGAAUGAGCUUCGGUAUCAUAAGCUUCAAGCUUGAAUUCUACUCUGCACCACACACAUACUGUUGAAAGUUGAUUCAAUUCUUCCAUGUUUAAGAUGAUUCCUCCAGAAUCAAAUCCAACCGAUGCAAAAGCCUCUUUCAUCCUUGCA